CAAGGUUUCCGUAGGUGAACCUGCGGAAGGAUCAUUAUCGAAUUUCGACGGGGGCGCUCGGUUCGGCCAGCACCGGUGGAGACGCCGUGUUGCGGUCGGCCUUGCGCCCUCUUCCAAACUCAAACCCCUGUGAACCUUUGGGAGGGAUGCGCCGCGUUUCGGAGCGCCCUCCCGUUCCUUAACCAACUCUGAUGUCUAUUCGAAUGUCGCGAUUCGGGGCAGCCCCGAUGUCGAAUCGAAAACAACUUUCAACAACGGAUCUCUUGGCUCUCGCAUCGAUGAAGAACGCAGCGAAAUGCGAUAAGUAAUGUGAAUUGCAGAAUUCAGUGAAUCAUCGAAUCUUUGAACGCACCUUGCGCCCUUUGGUAUUCCGAAGGGCAUGCCUGUUUGAGUGUCUUGAAAUCAUCAAACCCAUCGGUGCUUGUCUCCGGUGGGCUUGGACUUGGGGGUUUGCUGCCGCCUGCGGUGGCUCCCCUUAAAUGAAUCGGUCGGGCUAUCGUGUGCCGGUCCACGGGCGUUGUAUUACCCUCGUCCUAGGAUGGCGCUCGACUCGAAGGCCCUUCCUCGACUCGCCUCUGGAGCGGCGGUCAAAGGCGCUAAGCCACUUUGUGAUCUGACCUCAAAUCAGGUAGGACUACCCGCUGAACUUAAGCAUAUCAAUAAGCGGAGGAAAAGAAACUAACAAGGAUUCCCCUAGUAACUGCGAGUGAAGCGGGAAGAGCUCAAAUUUGAAAUCUGGCGGCUUCGCCGUCCGAGUUGUAUUCUGGAGAAGCGUCU
This 777-nucleotide ribosomal RNA is filed under the name uncultured fungus. RNAcentral describes it as "eukaryotic LSU rRNA". The stretch from base 244 to 397 matches the Rfam family "5.8S ribosomal RNA". The record is from RNAcentral. Lineage: Eukaryota; Fungi.